This 752-nucleotide long non-coding RNA is filed under the name Gallus gallus (chicken). The record is from RNAcentral. Lineage: Eukaryota; Metazoa; Chordata; Aves; Galliformes; Phasianidae.
UGCAGCACAGAGGCACCCACUGCCAUCCAGUGGGGACGAGGAAUAGGAGCAGGGAGCUGCCAGCAGGGCUCGGGGCCCUGUGCUCCUGCCUGCAGCAUGGGGCCCCGAGGGGCACAGCGAGGGAUAAGGACAGCCACCACUCCCCCUUGGCCUCAGACGUCACAACAUGCGUGUCAUGACCAUGGUGAGGAAGUCCUCGUAGCCGAGCCGCACGUUGCCCACCAUCCCCGUGUCCUUCUCACGGAAGGCGUCCGUCAGGCUCUGCAGCUGCAUGCAGAUGUGGAUGAAGCGGUCGAGCUGGAUGCUGGGGUUGGAGGACCUCUGGGCGUAACGGGACAGCAGCAGUUGGCUGAACUGAGGGCUCAGGUUGUAGCCCAUCUGGGAGAAUGCUUGCUGGAGCUCACUGAAGCUGAUGGAGCCCGACUGGUCCCUGUCGUACUGCUGGAAGAGGUUCUUCCACUGCUGGAUGAAGCGCAGCAGAGCUGCGAAGCCGUACACAUCUAUGCGUCCCGACCUGGUCCUGUCAAACAUGUUGAUCAUCAGCAGGCAGGUCUCGUCGUUGAACGCCGACCAGUUGGAGUUGAGCAGCGCCUGUUUCAGCUCCUUCACCGAGAUGUAACCGCUGCGGUCAGCGUCCACCGCCUGGAACCAGGAGAAGGCCUCGGGGUCCACCCCCUGGGGGGCACCGCCUCCGGGAGCGGCUCCUCCGUACGGUCCCGCCGGGGGCGCUCCGUAGGGCUGCCCGGGGGCCG